GGAUACAGCUCAGUGGUAGAGUGCGUGCUUGGCGUGCACAGGGUCCUGGGUUCAAUCCCUGGUACCUCCG
RNAcentral lists this transfer RNA (70 nucleotides) under Camelus bactrianus (Bactrian camel). It matches the Rfam family "tRNA". Rfam says of the family: Transfer RNA (tRNA) molecules are approximately 80 nucleotides in length. Their secondary structure includes four short double-helical elements and three loops (D, anti-codon, and T loops). Further hydrogen bonds mediate the characteristic L-shaped molecular structure. tRNAs have two regions of fundamental functional importance: the anti-codon, which is responsible for specific mRNA codon recognition, and the 3' end, to which the tRNAs corresponding amino acid is attached (by aminoacyl-tRNA synthetases). tRNAs cope with the degeneracy of the genetic code in two manners: having more than one tRNA (with a specific anti-codon) for a particular amino acid; and 'wobble' base-pairing, i.e. permitting non-standard base-pairing at the 3rd anti-codon position. The record is from Rfam by way of RNAcentral. RNAcentral also lists the same sequence under 3 other names. Lineage: Eukaryota; Metazoa; Chordata; Mammalia; Artiodactyla; Camelidae.